This 1422-nucleotide ribosomal RNA is filed under the name Triticum aestivum (bread wheat). RNAcentral describes it as "partial small subunit ribosomal RNA". The record is from RNAcentral. Lineage: Eukaryota; Viridiplantae; Streptophyta; Magnoliopsida; Poales; Poaceae.
AGGGUUGCAUACGAUGAGAUACUAGCUUCUGUUGAACGCGGUGAUGGGGGUGUGUUCUUUGUUGAUGGACCGGGAGGUACAGGGAAGACCUUCCUGUACAGGGCGCUGCUCGCCAAGGUUCGAAGCGAGGGAAACAUCGCUAUCGCUACCGCGACGUCAGGCGUCGCCGCUUCUAUCAUGCCUGGAGGCAGGACUGCCCACUCGAGGUUCAAGAUCCCAUUGAGCUGCGACGAUGGCGCCUCAUGCACCUUCACGAAACAGAGUGGUACCGCCAAGCUACUGAGGAUGGCCUCAUUGAUACUAUGGGACGAGGCCACCAUGACUAAGAGACAGGCAGUCGAGGCACUUGACAACAGCAUGCGCGACAUCAUGGGAAGACGGGACCGACCCUUUGGAGGAAAAACUGUUGUGUUUGGCGGGGACUUCAGGCAGGUGCUUCCGGUCGUCAGGAGGGGGUCCCGGGGUCAGAUAAUCGAUGCAACCCUUCCAAGUUCACACCUCUGGAAGGGUAUGCGCCAGCUAAGGCUCGUCACCAACAUGAGGGCUCAUAAUGACACCUGGUUUGCGGAUUACUUGCUAAGGGUAGGCAAUGGCACUGAGGAAGUUGACGAUCAAGGAAACAUACGACUCCCUGAAGAUAUUUGUGUGCCGUCUACAGGCGAGGGUGAUGACCUGGAGAAGCUGAUUGACCAUGUGUUUCCCAGACUAGAUGACAACAUGUCCGAUCCGAAUUACAUGACUUCACGCGCAAUCCUCUCCACCACGAACGACAACGUCGACAAGAUAAACAUACGCAUGGUAGAGCAUUUUUGGGGAGAAGAAGUAAUCUACCAUAGCUUUGACAGUGCAGAAGACGACCCGUAUGGCUACUACGCUCCCGAGUUCCUAAAUGGAUUGACUCCCAACGGUCUGCCUCCGCAUGCACUCAAACUGAAGCUCAACUGCCCCGUCAUACUUCUGAGGAACAUUGAUCCGGCUAAUGGUCUGUGUAACGGGACGAGGCUUGUGGUGCGAGGUUUCGAGAGGAACGCCAUCGACGCAAAAAUCGUGAUCGGACAACACGCAGGUAGGAGGGUAUUCCUUCCUCGAAUACCCCUAUGCCCGUCUGACAACGACAUGUUUCCAUUCAAGUUCAAGAGGAAGCAAUUUCCUGUAAGGCUUAGCUUUGCUAUGACGAUUAACAAGGCUCAAGGCGAGACGAUUCCGAUUGUUGGCGUGUACCUACCUAAUCCUGUGUUCUCUCAUGGUCAACUCUAUGUCGCACUGUCUCGAGCCACCGCAAAGAGGAACAUAAAGAUCCUCAUUGAGAAGGAGAAGGAGAAGGAGAAUGCCAAGAAGCAAAGCGGUAAACCUAAGAAGCGAAAAAGACCUGCCUUGUCCUUACAAACCUCGAUGAAGAACAUCGUCUAUAAGGAAGUCCUU